RNAcentral lists this microRNA (23 nucleotides) under Rattus norvegicus (Norway rat). Its description in RNAcentral is "Rno-Mir-105-P1_3p* (star (passenger))". The record is from RNAcentral. Lineage: Eukaryota; Metazoa; Chordata; Mammalia; Rodentia; Muridae.
UCACGGAUGUUUGAGCAUGUGCU